AUUAAACUAAUCACUACCAUAAUGAUAGGUUCAAUUGAACCUCCAAACUCACCUCAAAUCACUCGGGAAAUAGACCCAUUUCUGAUGUUUUCUACCGCCAAACAAGGGAGACAAAAGCUGCUGCUCUUAAUUCACAGGAACAGUGAGCCACAGACAGCUAAUCACGUCCGGAACCAAAAGCACCUGCCCUAUCUGCCUCUACAUUUGGAUUGCUGUUAUACUUUGUAUAAGAAGGUGCUAAUAACCUGGAGGCUCUUAGACUGGGUGAUCUAAUCCCUUUGUACGAUAAAGACUUGCCAUGCCGAGAGUGGUUGCCAGAUCUUGGACCAAGUGCUUUAGAGGAAAUCUGGCAACAUGCUGAAGAACCAGCAGUAAAUGUGCUCGUUUGCCCAUUUAGUGCUUCGGAUGACCGAUGUGACUACCCGGAUGUUUCCUGCCUCUGCGUCAUUCUCAAAAAGUGCUUGGUUUCUUGUAUUCUUUCACAGACAAAAUAUAAUAUUUGUAAGAUAGAAAGCUAUAAUUUGUAAGAUAGAACGCCAAAUAUCUUAUUUGUAAGAUAGAAAGCCAAAAUUUCAUAAUCGCGUUCAUUGCAAGUGUUUUCACAAGUGAUUAAAGUGGUUUGGACUUGAAAUCAUUAAAAAUACAAUUCACAAAUACAAUGACUUAAAAACACACCUUCUAUUAUUAGGAUUUAUUUUAAUUUUUAAUUUUCAUAAAAAGAAUCAUUAAAAGAAAAUUACAUUUUUGAAAAGUAGUAGUAGUAGUAAUAGCAAUCUAAUAAAAAAAAAAAAAAGAUGUUUAAAAAGAAACAGGACAUGUUUCAUCAAAGAAAAGUUGAUUAUGGAUGGAGGCAGAUGGGAUUGGGUGUUGAGCUUCAGUUGCCCGAAACACAAAAGCCUCCAAUUGUGUAAUCUUUGAUAUUUCUUAGAAUUUUUUUUUUUUAAUUUAACUCUUUACUCUUAUCCAUUUUUUCCUCUCUCAAAUCAACGUCAUGUGGUGCAACCAACAUACAGAAGCAUGCAGAAAACUAGGAAGUGAUAUAAUAGAGACGACUCCUGCAGCCCCU
This is a long non-coding RNA of Cyprinus carpio carpio, 1066 nucleotides long. The record is from Ensembl. Lineage: Eukaryota; Metazoa; Chordata; Actinopteri; Cypriniformes; Cyprinidae.